GAUUUUAUUAAUGAUUAUUUUUUUGUUUAUGAUAUAAUUAUUUAGUAUGAUGAGUGAGGGAUGAGAUUAGUUUAUAGUGUAUGAGUACCGUGUGGGGAUUAUUUUAUUUUAGUGGAAUAUUAGGUUUUUUAUUACCUUUUGUAUUAGGGUUCUUUAAUGUUUUUGAAUAUUGAUUUUUUCUCGAUAAAUAUCGGGCUAUUUGAUUUGAUUGGUUUAAUUCGUUGUAUAGAAUUUGCUAAGAUCGUAUAGUUAUGAAAUAUUAUUCAAGUUAUUUUUUAUCUGGUUUUCUUAGAAGUAUAAUGGAGUGUAUAAUUAUGGGGGAGUUAGGCAGGGAUUAGCUUGUUUAAUUUGUAUAUGAUAUUAUUUUUAUAUUUUGUUUGUGGAGUUGAAAGUUUUUAUUUUUAUUGUGUUAUUACUAGACAGGUUUUUUUAGUUAUUUUUUUAUUUUAUGUUAGAAUUUGAAGUUUGGGAUUAAUUUACCUUCUUAUGGUAUAAUGAUGAAAUUAGUAAUAUUAUAUUUGGAAUUUUGGUUUUAGAUGAUAGUUUGAUUUUUUAAGAUUAGUUAAUUUAUAAUAAAUAAUUAGGCAAUAUCAACUUUUGACUGUUUAGCAAAGACAUUGUUUUUUGUUAGAAUAAAAAAUAAGUUCUGCCCACUGCUGUAAUGGUGAAGGGCUGCAGUAUUUUGACUGUAUGAAGGUAGCAUAAUCAUUAGCUUUUUAAUUGGAAGCUGGUAUGAAGGGGAAACAGGGGUUGGCUGUUUUAUUUUUAUUAAAUGAAUUUUAUUUUUAUGUGAAAAAUCGUAGUUGUAUUUAAGGGACAAGAAGACCCUAGUAAGUUUUAUUUCUUUAGUUUUGAUGAGCAUAAAGGAUUUAUUUAUAAUUGGUGUUAUUUUUAAUAUGGGGGUUUGAUUGGGGCGAUAUGUUAGUUAACUGAAUAUAUUAUUUAACUUUUAAUAAGACGUUAUUUGGACCUAUUGGGUUUAGUUGAAUGUUUAAUUACUGUAGGGAUAACAGCGUAAUUUUUUUUUAGAGUUCUUAUUGACGGGAAA
Molecule: ribosomal RNA, 1048 nt
Filed under: Sigmocheir calaveras
Lineage: Eukaryota; Metazoa; Arthropoda; Diplopoda; Polydesmida; Xystodesmidae
Description: partial large subunit ribosomal RNA
Source: RNAcentral